This 490-nucleotide ribosomal RNA is filed under the name uncultured bacterium. RNAcentral's name for it is "bacterial SSU rRNA". It matches the Rfam family "Bacterial small subunit ribosomal RNA", at positions 28 to 523 of the family's 1533-position model. The record is from RNAcentral.
GAUGAACGCUAGCGGCAGGCCUAAUACAUGCAAGUCGAACGGAGUAGCAAUACUUAGUGGCGGACGGGUGCGGAACACGUACGUAACCUGCCCGAGAGUGGGGGACAACAGAGAGAAAUUUCUGCUAAUACCGCAUAAUGCAGCGGCACCAUAAGGUGACAGUUGUUAAAGGCGAAAGUACGCUUUCGGAGGGGCGUGCGUCUGAUUAGUUAGUUGGUGAGGUAACGGCUCACCAAGACGAUGAUCAGUAACUGGUCUGAGAGGAUGAUCAGUCACACGGGCACUGAGACACGGGCCCGACUCCUACGGGAGGCAGCAGUAGGGAAUAUUGGGCAAUGGGCGCAAGCCUGACCCAGCCAUGCCGCGUGAAGGACGAAGGUGCUCAGCAUUGUAAACUUCUUUUCUCCGAGAAUAAGGCAACGGUAACUCCGUUGAUUGCAGGUAUCGGAGGAAUAAGCACCGGCAAACUACGUGCCAGCAGCCGCGGUAA